RNAcentral lists this long non-coding RNA (615 nucleotides) under Medicago truncatula (barrel medic). RNAcentral describes it as "lncRNA gene34844". Lineage: Eukaryota; Viridiplantae; Streptophyta; Magnoliopsida; Fabales; Fabaceae. The record is from RNAcentral.
GGUGAUGGAGAGGAAAACACUUGCUAGCUUGUGCUUCUUUCUCAUUUUUCUCUUAGCUGCUCAUGUCUGAAUAACAGAUUUACAACAAAUUAAGUAAUAAACAAAGUUGAAGAAAUUCAGAACCAAUUGUAAAGACUUAACCCAUCAAUCAUUUAGGCAGAGGAUAAAGAAGUAAGCAACUCAAGCAUGCAUAAGGAGAUUGAAAAAGUUUACGAAACAUCACAAGUAAACUUAUAUCAGUAUCGACAUUAAAAUCUGCUGAAGUAUAUGCAAGAGCACCGUGAAGUGAAUCUUCUUUUCCAACACUAGGAAGCGGAAGAAAUUCCUUUCUCGCAGCAGCUUGCAAGUGGUUAAUAGUCUUUGCAUUCUCAGGAAUGUAGCCUUCUUCAUCGUAGUUAACAAAAGGUGACAAGUAAGGUGGAGGAGUGCUGUUAACAAAAGAAAAAUUUUAGGUUUUAAACGUUUAGCAAUUAAAAUUUCAAUUAGAAACAAAUUAAUCAAACAAAAUGAAAAGAAAAAAGGAUGUGUGGAUUUGUGAUUCCACAAGAAGAUAUCCCUUGAAGAAAAAACAAAUUUGCUCAGAAUAUAAUAUAGGACACUCCUACCAUAUAAGUU